RNAcentral lists this ribosomal RNA (274 nucleotides) under uncultured Chloroflexota bacterium. RNAcentral's name for it is "uncultured Chloroflexi bacterium partial 16S ribosomal RNA". It matches the Rfam family "Bacterial small subunit ribosomal RNA", at positions 1094 to 1382 of the family's 1533-position model. Lineage: Bacteria; Bacillati; Chloroflexota. The record is from RNAcentral.
GAGCGCAAACCCUCGUCCUGUGUUGCUCUCUCACAGGAGACUGCCCCGCAUAACCGGGGAGGAAGGUGAGGAUGACGUCAAGUCAGCACGGCCCUUAUGCUUGGGCUACACACACGCCACAAUGGAUGGUACAACGAGUCGCUAAGGAGCGAUCCCAAGCUAAUCUCCCAAAGCCAUCCUCAGUACGGAUUGCAGGCUGAAACCCGCCUGCAUGAAGCUGGAGUUGCUAGUAACCGUGGGUCAGCAUACCGCGGUGAAUAUGUUCUCGGGCCUU